GUUGUGGUUGGAGCAGGAGUUGUGGUGGUUGGAGCUGGAGUUGUGGUGGUUGGAGCCGGAGUUGGUGUGGCUGCAAUUGUGGUGGUUGUAGCGGGAGUCUUGGUGGCUGCAGUUGUGGUGGUUGGAGCCAGAGUUGUGGUAGUUGGAUAUGGAGUUGUAGUGGUUGGAGCUGGACUUGUGGUGGCUGCAGUUGUGGUGGUUGGAGCAAGCGUUGUUGUGGUUAGACCAGGAGUUGUGGUAGCUGCAGUUGUGGUGGUUGGAGCUGGAGUUGUUGUGGUUCCAACUUGAUUCGUGGUGGUUGGAGCUGGACUUGUGGUGGCUGCAGUUUUGGUGGUUGGAGCUGGAGUUGUAGUCAUU
Molecule: long non-coding RNA, 357 nt
Organism: Dicentrarchus labrax (European seabass)
Lineage: Eukaryota; Metazoa; Chordata; Actinopteri; Moronidae
Exons: 4
Source: RefSeq, a predicted model, not a curated record